Herpailurus yagouaroundi (jaguarundi) is the source of this 4635-nucleotide long non-coding RNA. RefSeq lists it as uncharacterized. The record is from RefSeq and is a predicted model, not a curated record. The transcript has 4 exons. Lineage: Eukaryota; Metazoa; Chordata; Mammalia; Carnivora; Felidae.
GCCCCGCCCCCUGCGUCUCAUUGGUAAAGACGCAACACGUCCUUCGAGACGCAGGAGCGCGCACCGUCGCGAUGACGUCACCUGCGCGCCCUCACGUCUGGCCAAAAGGAACUUGCACCAGCUAGAUCAAAAUAGCGGCUUUUAUUUCACAUUCCUCAAUACACAGUGCAUUGAAGUAUCCUCAGGAUCUGCAUGUGGAGUAUAGAUACCAAGUGUAAUUAAGGACAACUCCCAGGUUCUUAGUCCAAGAACUGGAAGGUCGAAGCUGAUAUUUAAUGAAAUGGAGAACUCUGCAAGAGCAGGUUUGGGAGCAAGGAAGCCUUGGAAUUCAGUUCUGGGUAUAUGAAUUUGAGUUGCUAUAUCAGGCUCUUUAGAGUAAGUUUGUUGCAGUAAACAACUCCAAAAAUCUUAGUGCCUUAAAACAAAAAAGUUUAUUUCUUGCUCACCUGUGUGUCUGCUGCAUGUUGACUCUGGCUGUGUUGACUUCAUCCCAUGACCCAGGCUGAAGGAGCAGAGAUGGUUCCGAUUUUAGAACAGAGGGAAGAAAGAGCACAGUGGAGCCACAUCAUGGCCCUUAAGGCUUCUUCUCAGGCUGGCACAAGUCACUUCUACUCAUAUGUCAUUGAUCAAAGUAAGUCACCUGGCCAACUCUGACAUCAAGAUUAAGUAUAAUUCUAGGACUGUAAAAAGCAGAAGGCAAAAAAUAUUUCAAAUAAUAAUACAGUACACUGCAGAUGCCUAUUUGACAUUUAAGUGGCAAUGUCACUAGGUAGUUGGAUGUAUGAAUCUGAAGGUCAGGAGAGAAAUCCAGGCUGCAUAUAUGAAUUUUAGAAUCUUUAGCAUGUAAUAUUUACAUUCCUGAAGUUAGAAGAGAUCACCAAAGGAGUAAGUAUAAGUAAAGUUCAGAGGACUGAGCCAGGGGUACUCUGGCAAUUUAGAAAUCAGAAAAGUGAGAAAUAAUGAACCAUGACUGAGAAAGAGUGGCCCUGGAGUAAGUGGUGUGCUGGAGGUAAAGCAAAGAUGAUCUCGGAUAAGAGGGGGUGAUGAGCUCUGUCAAAGCCUGCUGAUAGGAUACAAAGAGGACUGGCAGUUGAGUGGAAGUUGUUGUAAAGCUGAGAAAAGCAGUUUUACUGCUGGGGUUGGGGAAGAAGCCUCAUUCUAGUGGGUUUAAGAGAGAAUGGUAGUAAAUGAAGUAAAGGGAGCAAAUGUGAACAGACCAAACAAAUUAUUCACAGGAAGAAAAAAGAAGGUACUGAAAGAAUGCCAAAGACAUAGCUACACUGGUAAAGAGCAGAGAAGCAGAGAUGCUGGAGUUCUGAGGACAGGAGCAGAGUGGCUGUUGCCAACUCAAAUACACAUCAUUUAAGUGCAUCUACUCAGGUGUCUCCAUUCCUCACCAUCUGAGGAAGCUACAUCAACCCACCACCCUUUCCCGAUCAAUUAACUCCACCUUUAUUACAUUUAAAAGUUUCUUUCCUUGUACAUCUUCUCUAAACCCCAGGUCUUGGAGUGCUCCAGAUUUUACUCCUUGCUCUUCUUCUCUAUCUGCAUUCACUUCCUUGAUCUUAUCCAGUCUCAAAGCUUGAAACAUCUAUAUGCCAUGACUCCCACAUUUCUAACUUUAUUCAUCCUUUUCUUCACAUCACAAUCCAACUGCAUACUUGGUAUUUCCAUUUGGGUGUCCAAUAGAUUGAACUGCUGCUGAUAACCCUACUAUAAACCUCUUAUUCACAGACCUCUGACCUCGGCUGAUGGCAUUCUGAUCCUUCCACUUCUAGAUUCUGUGACUCCUCUGCUCAAAACCUCCAAUCCCAUAGGCAGAAUGAUUAAGAAACUUGCCCAGUGUCAUCCCAUUAAUCAAUGACAGAGUGCUUUCCUGAAAGCCACGUCUUCAAACAAAUUGUUGGAAGUAAUUCUUACUUUAUCAGGAACAAGGUUACACUUGGACUUUGUAUUUUUGAUAAAGAAUUCAGCAUAAACAAAGUUUGAUAUAACCAACACCCUAAUCAGUAGUACUAACUUACCUUUGUCUAGCAUUUUAUAAUUUUCUAAAGCACUUUCUUGUAUGUACAUUAAUUUGAUUCUCUGACAAUGCAGAGAGGUAGAUAUUAUUGUCCCUAGUUUAGAAGUGGAUAAAAUGGGACCCAGGAAGAUGAACCAACCUACUCAGGAUCAAUUUAAUUGGUGGUUGAUAGAGGGAGUUAUCCUCCACCCCUUCAGUAGGACAGAGGUACUUUCUGUUGCCCCCAAUGGACAGAAGACAGCUACUAUGUAAAUUAGCACACCCCACCAUCUUGAAGUUAGUGUCAAUUUUUAGUCAGAUCCACACUUGCAUUUCUUUAUAACUUCAAGGCCAAAUAACUCAUCUACACCAUUCAUUCCUGUUCUUAUUACUUACCCUCAAACUCUUUACUCGUACAUAAAUUGCCUAUGCUUCUUUCCCCCAGCUUCUUUCCACCGCUGACCUCUUUGAAACUCUUUCCACUGCAGAAGCCACAGUUUCAUCGUAAGCACUCUCUACAGCCUCAACAUCCUCACAGAGCCAUACCUUCACUUUCUUGCCUCAAGUGAAACCUGGCUUUUCCCCCAAAGACAUCACUUCCCUUGAGCCCUGACAAACAAAAUCUGCUUUUUCCCCUGCCUUUCAACAUGCUGAGAGGUAUGUGGAUGCAGUGUUGAUAUUCUCCUAGCUUCUAGCUGCCAGUUCCAGGUGAUUCCAUUCUUACCUGUAUGAAACUCCCCACUUUAUGCCCCCUUUUGAGUCUCAUGCUGUAGCAUGAAGUGUAAUCAUCAUCAUCCACCAGCUCAAGGUCACUCCCCCAGAUUCACUGAAAGCUUCAGCACCUGGCCCACACAAAUGCUGCCAGACUCCCACUGUAAUCUCAGACAGCCUUCAUGCCCAUGAUUCACAGCUCCUCAAGCACCUGGAUUCCAUUGCCCUUUGCCUCCAUUCCUCUUUAACUCAACUCAUUCCUGUGGCAAAAUCCUAAUUUUAUGUUUACUCACAUGCUCUGAAAACCAGAACUCUAGUGACCCUUCACACCUCUGCAACUUUGACACUUUCCUGACUUCUUAGUAAUUUCUGUUCUUGAUCUUUCUUCAAUUCUUUGAGUUGCCCUCCCAUCUUCACUUUCAUCCUUGCCCAGCAUAGACCCCAAAGGCCCAUAAGUUCUCCGACUGUGGCUUCUGGGUACCCACCGUGCCCUCCCUCCAUCUUUGCUAUACUCCCAACCAACUCGCUCUCUUCUCUGGUUAUCUGAGUGGUUAAAGGCAUGGGCUAGGGAAGCCUGUUUCUAUCAUUUGAAGACUUUUUCCACCAUGUAAUAAUUCUACCUUGGACAAGUCAUUAAUUUUUCAGGGCUUCCAUUUCCUCAAUUGGGAAAUAGUAGUAUCUUACCUCCUGACCAUCAUAAAUUAUUGUGAAUAUUAAUUGAGAAUAUAUGUAACAUGCUUAGAAUAGUACCUAUCUCAUAAGUACUCAAUAAAUGUUUAAUAAACUGCUUUAUGAUGUUUCUUAAAAAAAAUCACGUAACCAGAUUAAUAAGUACCAAUACAUGCCCAAAUCUGCAAAGCAAAAUGUAAUCCAACAAACAUCCUCUUUUUUCACUCCUUCCCUAGAUACUGCCUGCUUCAGGGAGACUUUUGAGACAAUACCUUUGUAAGGGCCUGAGAACCUCUGAUUACAUCAUAUUAAUUAUUUGUCCUCCUCAUCAGAAGUAGAUAGGAUUAGCAGGCUGACUAAUGUUUAUUAUUUGUAAGGCAGGAAUAGCAAGGAUUUCAUGUGACCACUUCCCAGAAGACAGACUAGAAGAACCAGGCAGAAGGCAUAAAUAGGCAUCUCACAAGAGAGAAAACAUGGAUGACCAAGAAACAUAUUAAAAGAUGCUCAUCCUCAUUAGUAGGGAAAUGCAAAUUAGAACUACAAUGAAAUAACCUUGCACACCCUUGAAAAUGGCAAAAAUGAAGAAAUUUAACAAUAUCAGAUGUUGGACUAGGUAUUCUUAUGGUGGGCAUGUAAAUGAUACAAUUGCUUUGUGAAACAUUGUGGGGUUUUGUAAACCCAAUAUUCACAUACCCCAGGGAUCAGCAGCUCCAUCCAUUGAGAGUCUUUCACAUUUUGUCGACCAAACAUAACAAAAAGCACAAAGCUGCAAAUAACCCUAUCCACUGACAGGAGAAUGGAUAAAUAGUGGAUAAAUAGUGGUAUAUUCACCAGAGGAAUAUUUAACACACACACACAGUAAAAUAUAGCUGCAGUAACAACAUGAACGAAUCUUAGAAACACCGUUGAAGGGUAAAGAAAAAACAAGUAAAUGUAUGUAUUAUAAUAACACUUUAAAUAUGUUAAUCUAUUUAAUUCUCAUAAUAUCUCUUUGAGGAAGGUACUAUUGCUCUCAUUUGACAGAUAAGGAAACUGAGGCACAGAGGAAACAGUUACAGAUAAGAAACCAGCUAAUAAGUGGAGGUUGCAGGAUCUAGUUAACAUUUACUACAUGCUUACAUAGUAUCAGACACUGUAUUACCUUGCCCAUACCCACAUUAUCUACUUUAUGAAAGAUGCUCUUAUAAAAUGUCCUUCUUCGUUGUUUUUUUAUUUGCCUGAUAAAUCUUCCUAAAUAAACAUAAUAAGUUAGA